AAACCCUGAGUGUUAUUUUAUUUAUUUUUUUUCAAACCUUGCUUUAUGUUUGAAGUUAAACCAAUUCAUUGGAUUAGUCUUGAUCAAGCUAAUUCUGAAGUGAGUCGUCUUGAGAUCUAAGAGUAACCAUCAUAAAUUUCAAGUUUGAUCUAUGAGUUACUCAUCCAUCUAAACAGCUCUUGGUUGGAAUCAUUUGUUGAGUUAGCUUUAUUUGUGAUAGUUUGCAAAGAUCCUAGAAGGACCUCUAGCAUUGCAAAUCCAACAGUUGUUGGUACUUAUCACUUGGUAUCAGAGCAUUUGGUCGACGUUCUUUGGUUGGCUCUAGAGGAAAUGAAGAACAAAACAGGUGAAAAAAAAAAAACAGCAUUACCAGGCGUUGAAUGACGAUGAAGCUUUAUGAUUGCAUUUAGCUGACGAUCGGCAGCCAGAAUCUUAGAUCAGACUUCAGCAUAAGUCCGCCAUCACUGAAGGCUGUGUUCGAGGAGGCGAACCAUGCGCUUUCUGUAGUGCUCCUGCUCGAGUUACUUCUCAAAAUGCUGAAGUUUCUUUCCCCAUUCCCAGAAAACUGAGGAUUUUAUCACCAAAUAUUUUUGCAUAAAUAGCUCUUUUUUUUUUU
Molecule: long non-coding RNA, 616 nt
Organism: Cucurbita maxima (winter squash)
Lineage: Eukaryota; Viridiplantae; Streptophyta; Magnoliopsida; Cucurbitales; Cucurbitaceae
Exons: 2
Source: RefSeq, a predicted model, not a curated record